AUUGAACGCUGGCGGCAUGCUUUACACAUGCGAGUCGAACGGCAGCGCGGGCUUCGGCCUGGCGGCGAGUGGCGAACGGGUGAGUAAUGCAUCGGAACGUGCCCAGUAGUGGGGGAUAGCCCGGCGAAAGCCGGAUUAAUACCGCAUACGACCUGAGGGUGAAAGCGGGGGACCGAAAGGCCUCGCGCUAUUGGAGCGGCCGAUGUCGGAUUAGCUAGUUGGUGGGGUAAAGGCUUACCAAGGCGACGAUCCGUAGCUGGUCUGAGAGGACGACCAGCCACACUGGGACUGAGACACGGCCCAGACUCCUACGGGAGGCAGCAGCGGGGAAUUUUGGACAAUGGGGGCAACCCUGAUCCAGCCAUGCCGCGUGCGGGAAGAAGGCCUUCGGGUUGUAAACCGCUUUUGUUCGGGAAGAAAUCCUCUGGGCUAAUACCCCGGGGGGAUGACGGUACCGGAAGAAUAAGCACCGGCUAACUACGUG
This 484-nucleotide ribosomal RNA is filed under the name uncultured bacterium. RNAcentral describes it as "partial 16S ribosomal RNA". It matches the Rfam family "Bacterial small subunit ribosomal RNA", at positions 28 to 507 of the family's 1533-position model. The record is from RNAcentral.